Molecule: ribosomal RNA, 749 nt
Filed under: Bacillus sp. J514202
Lineage: Bacteria; Bacillati; Bacillota; Bacilli; Caryophanales; Bacillaceae
Description: bacterial SSU rRNA
Rfam family: Bacterial small subunit ribosomal RNA
Source: RNAcentral
AGUCGAGCGAAGAGAUGGGAGCUUGCUCCCUGAUCUUAGCGGCGGACGGGUGAGUAACACGUGGGCAACCUGCCCUGCAGACUGGGAUAACUCCGGGAAACCGGAGCUAAUACCGGGUAAUACAUCGCACCGCAUGGUGCAAUGUUGAAAGUUGGCUUUCGAGCUAACACUGCAGGAUGGGCCCGCGGCGCAUUAGCUAGUUGGUAAGGUAAUGGCUUACCAAGGCGACGAUGCGUAGCCGACCUGAGAGGGUGAUCGGCCACACUGGGACUGAGACACGGCCCAGACUCCUACGGGAGGCAGCAGUAGGGAAUCUUCCGCAAUGGACGAAAGUCUGACGGAGCAACGCCGCGUGAGUGACGAAGGCCUUCGGGUCGUAAAGCUCUGUUGUUAGGGAAGAACAAGUACCGUUCGAAUAGGGCGGUACCUUGACGGUACCUAACCAGAAAGCCACGGCUAACUACGUGCCAGCAGCCGCGGUAAUACGUAGGUGGCAAGCGUUGUCCGGAAUUAUUGGGCGUAAAGCGCGCGCAGGCGGUCUUUUAAGUCUGAUGUGAAAGCCCACGGCUCAACCGUGGAGGGUCAUUGGAAACUGGAGGACUUGAGUGCAGAAGAGGAGAGUGGAAUUCCACGUGUAGCGGUGAAAUGCGUAGAUAUGUGGAGGAACACCAGUGGCGAAGGCGGCUCUCUGGUCUGUAACUGACGCUGAGGCGCGAAAGCGUGGGGAGCAAACAGGAUUAGAUACCCUG